GAAUCUGCGAACGGCUCAUUAUUAACACCCGUAAUCUACCCAGUUUUCGUAUCCAAAACGGAUAUCUGCGUUAAUUUUGGAGCUAAUACGUGCACCAAAGCACCGCCAGCAAUGGUAGUGCGCACAUAUUAGAUCAAGACCUAUUGGGGCAACCCACUUGAUGACUCUGAAUAUUUUUGCGGAUCGCAUGGUCUUGUACCGGCGACGUACUGGUCGAGCGGGUGCCCUAUCAACUAUUGAUGGAAGUCUAUGUGUCUUCCAUGGUUGUAACGGGUAACGGAGAAUAAGGGUUCGACUCCGGAGAGCUAGCCUUAGAAACGGCUAUCACAUCCAAGGAAGGCAGCAGGCGCGUAAAUUACCCACUCUCAAUUCGAGGAGGUAGUGACUAUCAAUAACGAGACAGAUCUCUUUGAGGUCUGUCAUUGAAAUGAGCACAACUUAAAGACUUUAACGAAGUCUAUGGGAGGGCAAGUCUGGUGCCAGCAGCCGCGGUAAUUCCAGCUCCCAACGUGUAUAUCGUCAUUGCUGCGGUUAAAAAGCUCGUAGUUGGAUCUAAGUUCAUGACUGUAGUUCUCCAUGUGAGAUACUGCUAGUCUGGACUGUUUCGCCGGUUUUCCGUAGCUUCGGCUGCGGUGACUGGUGUUGUAACUUUGAUUAAAUCAAUGUGAUUAAAACAGGCGUUUGCUUGAAUGCUUUAUCAUGGAAUAAUAGAAUAUGACUUCGGUCCAUUCUGUUGGUCUUGGGAUUGAAGUAAUGAUUAAAAGGAACAACUCGGGGGCAUCCGUAUCGCUGCGUGAGAGGUGAAAUUCUUGGACCGCAGCGAGACGACCUAUUGCGAA
RNAcentral lists this ribosomal RNA (839 nucleotides) under Pristionchus sp. Salt_Lake_H.4_apple. Its description in RNAcentral is "SSU rRNA". It matches the Rfam family "Eukaryotic small subunit ribosomal RNA", at positions 83 to 949 of the family's 1831-position model. Lineage: Eukaryota; Metazoa; Nematoda; Chromadorea; Rhabditida; Neodiplogasteridae. The record is from RNAcentral.